AAUGCGCGCUAAAAUACGAGCACCUACACGUAUAAUACGGUUAAAUUACGUACUUAAUUAUACUACACGCUAUUAUAAACAAAACGUAAUUGAUUACAUUAUCACAACUAUAACUUAGUUGCAGUUACACGCGAAUCGUAGCAUAUAUUAUUUAUUGUUCCGUUUAAGCCGACGUGCGUCUAAUCUAUAGGUCAAUAAUACUCAAUAAUAAAUUAUCGUCACGUAAGAAAAUCGUAUAUGCCGUGU
Molecule: non-coding RNA, 246 nt
Organism: Cinara cedri
Lineage: Eukaryota; Metazoa; Arthropoda; Insecta; Hemiptera; Aphididae
Source: the annotation of a GenBank genome assembly